UGUAAAACUGCGUGUGGUGUGAACUGUGUUUUAUUGUGAUGACUCUGCGUAGUAUUUUGAUUUUAUUAGUCUCUUAUACGGCCUUGUUAUUAGUGUAUAAUUCAUUUUUAUAGGGGUAGAUAGUUUACGACCUCCUGUGGUGGCCCGUCAAGGUGAAACUCUGCAAAUCAUACCACCAUGGAAGCCGCUGUGAUAGCAUCAGAGGCGUCAGGUCAACAGCAGCGAGGAGUUGGACUCAACAUCAGUGAUGUGUGAAAGUCCUGCGCCUGUCCGUUGUCGGUGGGAAGUGUUCCUGUCGCUGGGAUUCCUGUAAGCGGCGGUGCCCGGGCGCGGCGGCCGCUCGGCGGUGUGUGUUUUCCCUCGUGCUCGAGGAGGCGGCGACGGUCCAGGGUGGGCCAUGCCGCCUCUUCCGUGGCCCGUGGUGGUUCACCGUGCGCUGCCCGGUGGACGUAGAUCCCUGCGACCGCCCGGGUCAGAGACUGAGUGUGACCGCUGUCCACGGCGGCGGCACGCGAGCAGCACGGGUCGCCGCAGUCAUGGGAAAGUUGGUAGAGGUAGAUUUGUCCUCACUGGACCACGCGAGAACGAACGUGCAUGGAUUUCUCCGGUCGGGGCAGGAAUGAAGUGGUUGCUGUGCCAGUAGUAUACCCUGUACUGAUGCUAGUUUUGCAAAUUCAAAUUCGGCUGAUUUGGUUCAUUAGAAGUGAUUCUACAAGCCCGGCACUGUUCGCCUGUUCAGGCCGUGGAGCGUCGAUGUCGUAUCCUGCGCUGAGGGCUGACGAUCGGGCGCCGGACGUGGCAAGUGCGAUUCCGCUUGAAGGAUAUCCUGUCAGAUUGAAUGUCUUGCUUGUUAGAUACUGGCCGGAUCUGAACGUGCCGAAAUACAUACAGUCCAGG
Amphibalanus amphitrite is the source of this 897-nucleotide long non-coding RNA. RefSeq lists it as uncharacterized. The transcript has 3 exons. The record is from RefSeq and is a predicted model, not a curated record. NCBI's taxonomy places the organism in Eukaryota, Metazoa, Arthropoda, Thecostraca, Balanomorpha, Balanidae.